GGGUCGUUAGCUCAAUGGUAGAGCAGCGGACUCUUAAUCCGUUGGUUAUAGGUUCAAGUCCUAUACGACCCA
This 72-nucleotide transfer RNA is filed under the name Candidatus Bipolaricaulota bacterium. RNAcentral describes it as "tRNA-Lys". It matches the Rfam family "tRNA". From Rfam's summary of the family: Transfer RNA (tRNA) molecules are approximately 80 nucleotides in length. Their secondary structure includes four short double-helical elements and three loops (D, anti-codon, and T loops). Further hydrogen bonds mediate the characteristic L-shaped molecular structure. tRNAs have two regions of fundamental functional importance: the anti-codon, which is responsible for specific mRNA codon recognition, and the 3' end, to which the tRNAs corresponding amino acid is attached (by aminoacyl-tRNA synthetases). tRNAs cope with the degeneracy of the genetic code in two manners: having more than one tRNA (with a specific anti-codon) for a particular amino acid; and 'wobble' base-pairing, i.e. permitting non-standard base-pairing at the 3rd anti-codon position. The record is from RNAcentral. Lineage: Bacteria; Candidatus Bipolaricaulota.